CACUGCAGCUACCUUACAGCCCGGGAGGUGAUUCUGAUUUUUAGCUCCAUUGCAGUAGUGUGUAUCUAAAUUGCCUUCCCUGGAAUCUGUGGCACCCAGCCCUCCCUAAGGAGGAAGGGGAUAUGCGGUGAUGUACCAUCCUGACAUGUUUUUAGGCGGUGAGACACGUCGCAGAUGUGAAUUACAACUAUGAGUAAUCUCCAGUGAUGUCAGUGGGCGUUAUCCCCAUGUCCGGAGGGUAAUAGAUUGGGCCCCUGUAAUGAACCUCAGAGAAGUACCAGAAUGAGAGAGCCCUCCAACUGGAACAGCACAAAACAAGUCUUUAAUGAAAGCAAUUGGAAUAGCACUAAAUAAAGUGUUUUAAUGGAGCUCCAAAGAGAUGUGUAAAAGCUGCUAGUAAAGUCAGUUGAAGGCCUGUCACAGUGCCUCUGAAUUCCCUUCACAGCCCUCCUGCUGGCAGCAGUUCAGGUCUCUUUACAGUACAUUAGAGGUAAGCGUAACAGUAUUAUACCAGGCCCUUUGAAAAACUAAUAAAAAUUUUCUUCCUGUGAGAGAAGCCCA
This 561-nucleotide long non-coding RNA is filed under the name Anser brachyrhynchus (Pink-footed goose). RNAcentral's name for it is "lncRNA (ENSABRG00000022107.1)". Lineage: Eukaryota; Metazoa; Chordata; Aves; Anseriformes; Anatidae. The record is from RNAcentral.